UAACUCAGUUGGUAGAGUAUCACACUUUUAAUGUGAGAGUCCCGGGUUCGAGUCCCGGG
Molecule: transfer RNA, 59 nt
Filed under: Caudoviricetes sp.
Lineage: Duplodnaviria; Heunggongvirae; Uroviricota; Caudoviricetes
Description: tRNA-Lys
Rfam family: tRNA
About the family: Transfer RNA (tRNA) molecules are approximately 80 nucleotides in length.
Source: RNAcentral